This 383-nucleotide long non-coding RNA is filed under the name Elaeis guineensis (African oil palm). Its description in RNAcentral is "long non-coding RNA (EGUI_LNC054336)". Lineage: Eukaryota; Viridiplantae; Streptophyta; Magnoliopsida; Arecales; Arecaceae. The record is from RNAcentral.
UGCUGGUAUCUAUAUAGAGAUGUCUGAUCAGAGCAUUAAGACCAUCAGUGUGCUAGCACCUUGCAAGCCUCACUUCUCAGCUUUGGAUCUGAAUCUUCUUCUAGAACUCGAAGAAGAUGAAGGCUACGCAAACCCUUUCACGUAGAUCUGAUGGGAUUUGAACCGGACCACCAAGAAGAGAGGAAAAACCUUUCUUCUUCUCUUCUCUUAUUUCUCAUUUCUCUCUCUAACAUCUAAUCUAAUCAAAUUAUGGGGUGUGGAGGUGAAGAAAUGAGGAAAGGAGGCAUUGAGAAGACUUCUAGUGGCAAGAAAGGCGCAGUAGAUCUCUCUCAUGCACACCCUCUCACUCUUCUUUUAUUUUAUUGUAUAAAAUUAUUGUUCCA